AUUCCAUGAUGGGGGUAUUUCCAUAAUAGUUCUUUAAAUCUUUCCCACGCUUCAUAUAAGGACUCAUCAUCCAUCUGUUGGAAGGUAGUGAUUUCAUUUCGCAACU
Gossypium hirsutum (cotton) is the source of this 106-nucleotide non-coding RNA. Lineage: Eukaryota; Viridiplantae; Streptophyta; Magnoliopsida; Malvales; Malvaceae. The record is from Rfam.